GAUGUUCGAGAAGAGCAAGAUGGUGACGAUAGCCACGGGGCUGGACCUCCUCAGCUACUCGAUCUGCAUCUUCUUGUCAUCAGCUUCUCUCUACAUCCUGCACAAUCUUCACAAGGGCGACCAUGAGGAGUGACGAGAGUGAAAUGCCGAAUUUGUAGCCUAGAGAGAGUUGAUGGUGUUGUCCAAUAAUCAAUACUGGAUUUUUAAGACUCUCUUCAACGGUCUUCUCUUCAUAAAAUAUAAAAUGAAAAAUAUAUGAUACAAUUUAUCUAUAUCAGAAGACCGAAUCACGAAUAGACACAAAUUAAAGGUCAAAUUACAACCAAUAUUCAUUCAAGGAAGCAACCUACAUAAAUAGAUAUAAUUAAUUAGUCAAAUAUUCAUGGGCCUUCAAAUUAAUAAUUAAGAAGCGAAAAUUUAUUAGUUUAUAAGAGAAUAAAACAUACCACUAAUAUUUGGAGCAACAAUAUACGACCUUUUUUCAUCUAUUCAAAUCGUAUUUUCCUCUUUUCGUUAUCAAUAUUUCUAAAUAUCUACUUAUUAUAGUAUAUCAUCACAUCAUUGAGCUGCUUAUCACUCAUUUACUAUAUAAUUUCAAAUUUUAGGGGUUAUGGGAGGGACAUAUGAGCUCGAAAGCGAUAGGGGGCUAGAGCCCCACUCACCUCACCUUUACCAUCGUCCUUGCUUGUGAACAUGCUUGGCUAUAAGAUUAGCUCCAUAUUACGUAGCUUCUUUGUGAUAUUAAUCAUAUUUAAUCUGAACCUGAUAAUAAUGUGUAACUAGUGGAUCGUGCAAAUAAUAUUUUCGACGCCGUCGAGCUUCCUUUGCAUCCAUUAUCAAAGGGUUUGUGGCAAAAGUACAUACUAAUUGUGUCAUAUACUCCAUCGGUUCAUAAAUAUAUGACAUUUUUAACUUUAAAAAAACUUUGAUCACUCGCCUAUUCAAAAAAUAAUUAGUUAUUAUUUAUUUUAUUGUGAUUUGUUUUAUCACUUAAGGUAGUUUGUAGUUGAAUUGAAAUUUUAUAUUUUUGAAUAAAUAUUUUGAAUAAGACGAGUGGUUAAAGUUUUAAAAAAGUCAACGGUGUCAUAUAUUUGUGAACGGAGGUAGUAUAUGUUAUGAACACAGUAGUGGAAUUUGCUAUGUAGGAAAAAAACUAUUCAAAAUUUUUAAUAUAAAGGUAGACGCAUAUGAUUUAUGUUUCUCUUUCAAUUUUGUCCACUUGUAAGCGAAAUUGUUUCUUCUCCAUCGGACAUUUCAGAAACAGAAGCUUAAGGUGCAAAGUGAGGAUUAAGAAGUUAUUUUCCUGUUUUUCUGCAAAUAGGAAAGUGCAGGCGCGGAAACAAUGAUGAAGGGGAUAUCUAUUGGUAGUAGUCAAACGUCCAAAACCCAAAAAAGGAAAACGAUGUUCAGAAUAGCAGUAAAUGACUUUCCGUUUGCCUUGUUUUGGCGAUCAGGCAUUUAUGUGUUUGCUUGGUUGAUUUGUAGUCACUUGAAAAUGAAUGAAGCCGAUAAAGGGUGAGAACACUUUAAUGAUAUCUAACAACGACCAUUGGAUCAGCAGACUUAGUGUCUCAAGUAAAAGGGAUAUGUAAUCACGAAUGCUACUGACGAAAAACCUAUUAUUUCUUAAUGUACCCAUGAAAGAAUUGGGUAGAGUAGGUAGAAGGCUGAGAGAUAAAUGGUUGCCGACCAUCAUGAAAUAUUGAUAUAAUAACCAUGAACCAAAGAAUAUAUCAGUACUCAUAUAAUUAGCUGACCCUAUCUAAAGAUGAAUAUAAAUGUGCACACGAUGCAAGCAAAUGUCUAGCAGGAUACAUCACAACAGCUUCAUAUGUAUACGUAAUCCAAUGUGAAUAAUUGAGGUUAAAUAUCGUCUAUGAAAUCCAAUUACUAAUUAUACCAAAUAAGAUUGGUACAUUAUUAGCAGGAGUAUAUAUGCGCAAAGUAAAAUGACGAAAAAAUUUGGGACCAUCUCUAGACUUACCUGCAUAAGAGGUGAACAUUUAGAAGCCGGCCGUAAAAGAAUGGCGCAGUUGAACGUGAAUCGUUGAUAUAGUAUUCAGAAACCAAAAAAUGUAUGAGUGACCGACCAUAUAAUCAGACCAACUGACUUAAAGUAAAAUAUGGAAACACGCCUUCGAGCAUAGCAUUUGAUCCGUACUCAUCCGAGGAUGUAAUGAUGAGGUUCGUCCUGUGAACUGAAUACCAAGUCACGGUACAGAAGGUUUUAAGCUGUAAAGCAAUCACGGUGUCGUUGCAGCGGAUGAGGGAGCUGUAAAAUCACAAUUAGCAUGUUUUGUUAGACUCGCACAGGUAACGUACGUAUGAAAUAUCUAAUAUAGUUGAUAUAAUCAGCAGCAACAAAUUAUAAAUGACCUUUAGUAGCGUAUAUGUAUUUAUUAGGAUAAAGUGUUGGGACACUUCAUCGAUCAACGAACCAGCGUGUACGACUGACAACACCGGCAUGACUGCAAUAUGUAGUGGAGAAAAAAAAUGUGUUGAGACAUUUCAUCAAACAACCCGAGGGCGUGGCUGGAAGCAGGUCUAUGUUGACCUCACCGGCAUGACUGCGAAGCAGAGGACGGCGCUGUCAAGGAAGUUUCAGGUUACACAGGUGCUACGGUGCAAGGACGAGUGUGCAGGACGCAGCAGCAGGUCUGGCGUGUGCCGAGCGACAGCAACGACGAUGGCGAACACAAUCUUUGACAGCCGCAAAUCACCGUGUGCGAUGACAUAAGAAGCGAACACAAAACCAGCGGCCGCGUCUGAACGAUGGCGACACCGAUAGAGUACAGAGUAGAAGAAGGGAGGAAUAAAUCGCAUGGGACGCGGAGACGAAUCUGACGCGGUUGAAGCUGCUUCCGACGACCAGGAAGGAUUCUGUGUUCGCUCGCCGAGUUGAAACCCUAGUCGCCCUCCCCAAAACCCUCGGUGCUGAAGCAAAGCUGAGUGGGAACGGUGUUUCUGGAGAGACCGAGGCAGUUAAAAAGCGACGUUGCCUCUCUUUGGCCGGCUUGAUGCACGGCAUUGUAUAUGAAAAUAAAUAAAUAAAUAAGCUAGUAUAAAUAUUUUAUGAUUUUUUUAAAAAAACUUAUAAACUGAUAAAAGUUUUUAAAUAACAAUGUUAUAGUGU
This 3133-nucleotide long non-coding RNA is filed under the name Zea mays. RNAcentral describes it as "long non-coding RNA (ZMAY_LNC004614)". The record is from RNAcentral. Lineage: Eukaryota; Viridiplantae; Streptophyta; Magnoliopsida; Poales; Poaceae.